RNAcentral lists this ribosomal RNA (760 nucleotides) under Dentiscutata cerradensis. Its description in RNAcentral is "SSU rRNA". It matches the Rfam family "Eukaryotic small subunit ribosomal RNA", at positions 355 to 1116 of the family's 1831-position model. The record is from RNAcentral. Lineage: Eukaryota; Fungi; Glomeromycota; Glomeromycetes; Diversisporales; Gigasporaceae.
ACGGGUACGGGGAUUNGGGUUCGAUUUCCCGGAGAGGGAGCCUGAGAAACGGCUACCACAUCCAAGGAAGGCAGCAGGCGCGCAAAUUACCCAAUCCCGACACGGGGAGGUAGUGACAAUAAAUAACAAUACAGGGCUCUUUCGGGUCUUGUAAUUGGAAUGAGUACAAUUUAAAUCCCUUAACGAGGAACAAUUGGAGGGCAAGUCUGGUGCCAGCAGCCGCGGUAAUUCCAGCUCCAAUAGCGUAUAUUAAAGUUGUUGCAGUUAAAAAGCUCGUAGUUGAAUUUCGGGGUUCUACCGUUGGUCGGGCUAUUGUCUGUACUGGCGUGUAGAAUUUCUACCUUCUGGGGAACUAUCAUGUUAUUAAUUUAGCGUGGUAGGAAACCAGGACCUUUACCUUGAAAAAAUUAGAGUGUUCAAAGCAGGCUUAUGUCUGAAUACAUUAGCAUGGAAUAAUAAAAUAGGACGGUGGUCCUGUUUUGUUGGUUUCUGAAUCACCGUAAUGAUUAAUAGGGAUAGUUGGGGGCAUUAGUAUUCAAUUGUCAGAGGUGAAAUUCUUGGAUUUAUUGAAGACUAACUACUGCGAAAGCAUUUGCCAAGGAUGUUUUCAUUAAUCAAGAACGAAAGUUAGGGGAUCGAAGACGAUCAGAUACCGUCGUAGUCUUAACCAUAAACUAUGCCGACUAGGGAUCGGACGAUGUUAACUUUUCUUGACUCGUUCGGCGCCUUACGGGAAACCAAUUUUUUGUGGUGUNUANCA